AAUGUCACCCAUCUUGAUCAUGCCUCUCACAAAAUCUGCGAAAAAUGCGCUUUGGCUACUAACAUACGAUUGGACCUGCGCGUCGGUGGCUCCACCGUUGAAGAGCUCCUGAUCGGAGUGCAGAAGUCCCUUCUUGCUAACAAGGUUCUUGUAGUAGUUGUUCUCAAAGACGGUCGGGGUUUGAAGGUCCAGAGGUGCCAAGUUGUUGUCACCUGUACCUGAGGUGCUAGGGCAGCCUGAUUGCCUAGUCCCUGCUAAGGCGCCAUCGAUGUUGGUUUCAUUGUAUACGUGGGCUCUGAAGUUGGUGCAACGUGCUAGGCCUAUGGUGUGAGCACCUGCCAAAAUCAAGAGGCCGAUCAAGAUUCCAAGUAGGUUAUGAUAUUAAUCUAGCUAGUAUAUCAAAAGAAUGGAAGAAAUGAAUGAUUGACCUAUUUUUACUUAUUCUGCAAAAUAAAUUGCUCGCUAUACAUAAUCAUAUUACAAGUUUAUAACAUUUUUUUUUGAAACAGGUGGUUGUUGUUGAUUCUGUAAAUAUAUAAGAGACAAAAGAGUAUUCGAUUCUAGUUAUGAAGCGACAUAAAAAAAGGAACAAUUUGUGUGGUUGCAGUUAACUAGCUAGCUACGAUGAUGGACUUUAUGCUUGCCUUCAGUAUAGCAUCGAAUUGACAUAUCCGAUGGUUGAUUGAUCAUCUUUCAACUUUCUUUUAUAACAUGCAAAAAGCAUAAGCUUGUACACACAACUUUCUUUUUCUUCCAGAUGAAACCCGUACCGGCCGACAGCAUCUGUGGCAUCGUCGUUGUCACCUUUUACAAACUUUAUUAUGUCAUUCCGUCCAUACCUAAACUAACUAGAUCUCGUGCUAGACGUGUUAUAUGUUAGUAACCGACAGUUAAUUAAGCUUCAUCUGGUCAAUUCACCAACAGGCCAGGUAAAUGAUCCUGUGUCACGGACUCACGGAUUGAUAUACAAGUAUAUGACGACGGUUAAAGUCAAAACUGAGCUAUCGAUUCCGUUGGCGAUUUAUCUAAUCUCUAAAGCUAUCUUUGUUGAAAAGCAAAGUGUGGAGUUUUCUUUAUUUUCUCAUUCUACAGUUGAUAUCCAAAAAGAUGCCAUCCAUAGUUGAAGUUGAACAUGUCUAAGUAGGAAUUUGUGCAAGAGUUUAGCCUGACGACGUACCAGAGAGCGCGACCAUGUCCUUUUGGGAGAGUCCCUGCGCGGCGAAGAGGGAUGUCAGGUUGGCGAGGCCCGACGUCGGCGGUGGGAUGCUGUUGUUGGCUCCACUGAAGCUCGCCGUCGUCGAGUCCCUCCUCCCAACCUUGACGUUCCAGUUCGGCCCGCCAAGCUGCAUGUGCGAUCAGUUGAGAUGGAGUUGCGACAUGCAUGUUGUUACUGCCAAUCAAGUUCAUCAUCAGCUAGCUUCACACUUACGAUGACGACGCUGUCCCUCGCCGCGAUGGCGAGGAUGUCGGCGCAGGAGACGACGCCGGGGCAGACCUUCUCGACGGCGGACUUGAUGGCAUCGAUGACCUCGAAGCCUCUCACGGAGCCGUUGUUUGGCGUCGCCAUCUUCUCACCCUGGAAGCUGGGCGUGUCAUCCAGCAGCAGCGACCCGUCGCAACCCUGACACGCAGUUGUAGGUCAUCAAGUUGAUCAGCUAGUAAGUAAGUUUGAGUGAUCAGUACUAAUUCAUCAUGAUAUCAGUAGAAGUACUUGGACGAAGCAGUCGUGGAAGAAGAGGCGAACGAUGGAGGCGCCCAUGCGCUUCUCCUUGUCGAUGGCGGACUGCACCACCGACUUGACGGCGCUGUACACGCCGGGGCAGGAGCUGGAGUAGAAGCCGGUGGACAGCUGCGCCGACGAGGUGCCGGCCAGCGCCAGGAGCAACAGUACGAAAGCGAUGCCGCCGCCGCUGCAUCUUGCAGCCAUGGUGCUCGAUCGUCUGACUGGGUGUGAGCUGCUAGCAAGAUAUGCAGGGAGAGCAGAGUGCGUGCUUGUGUCCUGCCUGGAGCUAGAUAGCCUGGACGGCAUCGAUAUUUAUGGCAGAAACACCUGGAGUCGGUCUGUAGUAUAGACCAUAGUAUCCGCCGAUCAUAUAUGAUUAGGUUACAUCAUGCAUGUGUAUCGUCGUUGGUGUCACCACCUACUCCGCCUGUUGGACUUUGAGUUGAAAAGGAAAGCAUGCGUGCGUGUUGGCCGCGCAGGAAUCACGCGUUUCAGACCAUGCAUAGCCCUUGUUUCAGAUGCAAGGGCUCGAGGCAAGGCCUGAUCGCGUUGCCGGCCGGCCUCCUGCGACUUUGUAAAAGAGCAUAACGGUAUCCCUGUAGACCACUGAUGAAUGGGAACACUUGGACCUCUCUGCUUGCAUUGGUAUCGAACGAAGCAAACUGCAGGCCGACACGGUUACGUACGUAAAGAUCCAUUCCUUUCUGCCACUGCAUGCUGCAUUUACUACUUGCUUUCUAUGCUGCACAUCGUUCCGGAAGCACGCGUACUCCGCGUUGUCGUAAUGCAAUUCUGGUGAACUGAUCGAGUUUCUCGUCAGCAGGAGCACUUUGAUUUUUAUAAGGUUCGUUUGAUUGAUUCUUCACAGUUAAUCCAGCUGCUGUAAAAGAAUUCCUUCUGCUGGUCAUCAACAUCAUUCAUGCUGCAGACAUGCAUGGGCAAUGGUCAAUUUUGUGUGGCACUGACCUAGUAGUUACUAUUCAGCUGUGUAAAAGUCUCCUUUCUACCUUACAAACCUGAUACUAUAUCUUAACAACUCUCUACCACGUAUUAGGAUAAAAAAUAUGCUAUGCCCCAUACAUGUUCUGCUUUUCCCUAAAGUCGUCAUGGAUGGUUAGUGGCACACACCAUACUGCAUACAUGGCCAGGAUGGUCUAACAGUCUCUACUCUGUAGAAUGUUUUGCUUCGAAGUUAAGUUGUUGGGGAAUAGGACAAGCAUAUACAUCCAAAUUUUCGGAGCAGCUCAACCCUGCAAAGUUCUAAGAUGCGUGCAUUGCCUGCACCAGAAUGUGUCAUUGUAAUAGUAUUUGUUUGUCAUUGUUUGGUUAAAAAAAACAUGAUAAAGUAAUUAGGUACGGUUUCGCUCUUACACAGGACAUGAAAAUAUAAAAAUUGACGGUACUAAACAGAUAUGCGUGCUUUUCAUUUCGUCAUGGCGGUACUGAUAGACAGAUAAAAUGUCGCUCCUCUGACUGGGUGAGCCACUGUUGCUUGAGCUGAAGCAAAGCCUAAAACUGUAGGCUAGUGUAGUGUAGGACAGCAUGAGGUGUUGUGGUUCUGGUGAAUUAAUGGGAACACUUGGACCUGUAGGAUCCAAGCAAACUGCUGUUCGGUAAGGUAGCAGUUCAGCUAUUGUGCUACGCAUGUUGCCCAUCAUUCCAUCUGAUGUAAUUAAUUUAUCUUUAUUUUUAGUUCGAGGUUUAUGCUCCUAUUAGUUUCUGUCAUCCCAAUGGAUUAGUGUUUUUGCAAGUUCCAAAUGGUCAAGCAUGAUGGGGGCAAGAAUUUCCUCUUGCUGGCCUGCUGGAAGAAGCAUUCUGGUCGUCCAUAUCAUAGAUGCUGCUGCCUUGCAUAUGGCAGUGACUAAUAGUCAGUUCCAGAGUCUACCUUCAACGUUACAAGGGAGUAUUUAUCAUGACGGAAAAAAAUAUGAUAUUUCUCUCAUGCUCUGUUUCUCCAAAAGUCAUCAUGCAUGGUUAGUAAUUAAUCUCCAUUAUUUGUUUUGUCACAAUAACAUAUGGACAAGAGUCAGCAGUAGUCCCCAGUCACAAUAACAUACAUGGCAUAUACUUCCACAACAUCAGGAAAGUUCAACCCGUGACUUUUCUAGUUUCUAGAAUAUAAUGCCUCGACAAGAACCAUCUGCUUGCCUAUGUUUCUGUACUUUUUUUGUUUUGAAAAUCGUUUGGUCAAGGAAUAUGGUGAAGUCAUUAGGUAUGCUUCACUGUACACACAUGCAACCACCCUCUUAGGGCCCUGGUCACUUGGAACUCAAGCAGUAGGAGCUAGGACUGUUAAAUCCUUUUCAAUAGUUCUAGCUUUGCUGCUUAUGUGUCUUGCUUCAAUUCAAGGGAAUCUAAAGUACAGAAAGAGAUUCCAGAUGGUACCUGAUUUUAACAGUGAUCAAGCUUUGUAAACAUCAACCGUAUGUGGAAAUGAUUUGGGUAUCUUUAUUAAAAGGUAUCUUGUUAUUUUAACUUCAAGUAGGCUUUACAGGUAAGUACAUCACCAUAUGAAAAUUGAUGGUUCGAUCAAUCAUGUUUUGAGGGCAGUGAAAAGUUACAGUAUUGCAGUUAUUUUUGUCUAAAGGAAGUAGUUUAGUUUGACGGUGAGUUGCUUCUGGGCACUAAAAUGUAACUUUUUUUUCUUUUGCUUUGCGUGCACGUGCCACAUGGUACCACAAUUGUCGAGAGAAAGAGAUCCAUGCGGAAGCAUGUUAACUUCGGUCUUGAAGCACGCAUGUACAUGUUGUUUCCUCUCAUUUUAACAUGAAAGGAUAGAAGGUAUAUAUUUUUUUAAUAAAGAAAAUAGUUUCCGGCAUCUGCGACCACACAUAUCCAAUUUCUUACAUCGUCUUCAGCCAAAAAAUAAAGAGAAAUUAAGUACACAGAGUACGUGGCAUAAUAACUAAUUAAACAGAUGAAAUGUCGCUGACCUGCAGAGAUUUCGUGUUGAUCGAUUGGUUCAAGAGUAGCCAUCACGUGUAGCACGUAUCAUAGUAACAGGUCUCUGCAGGUGACCGGUUUAAUCAUCAUCUGCAGUUGCAGAGCAUUACAGUACUGAGUUCUAUGUAUUAUAUCUGAUAUAUGCUGUGUGCCUGUGUCUUAGUGGCCAGUAUUUUGCAUUCCUAUAUAGUUAGUACGUGCUGAUCGACGGAUGCCGCGAGGAUGAGAGAGACUGUAGGUUGAGUUCAUGACAUUGACUGCAUAUCUGACGCAGUACUCCACACCUAAAAGAUGGAUUAUGAUAAACAAAAUUUGAUCAAGUAAGGUAAACUAGCUCUACCAAUGGAAUCGAAUCAUGCACACAUUCAUCAGAUACAUAAGAACUGGACAGCUGCAGCAUAACAGAUAAUGAUAAAUUUGCAGGUUCCAUCAUAUGCAUGGAUGUGGACAUGUGGUGCUCACUGCUGAGACCUAAAAUUGCAUCUGUAUGGACGCCGACCUUGCUUUCUCCGGCAGCAUACAGCUGCUCAUGUACUCGAUCGUAUGGCUAGGCCAGACAUGUGCAUGGUUUUGUACAGCGACACUUGGAGGAGAAAUCAAAGACACUAGACAUUCAUCUCACAUCUUUCUGACUUGUUGGGCACUGGGGUGCAAUAAUAGCUGGUGCAUUAUUACAUUAGGAAAACAAAUAUUUAAAUUGAUAAUGCUGAUAGCAGAUUGUACAUUGAACUGACAAGCCUGACAUGGAUUAUUGACUAACCCACCUAAAAGAUGAUAAACAAAGUUAAGGGAGUAAGGUAAGCUAGCUCUACUACCAAUCAAAUCGAAUUAUAUGCAGAAAUGAGGAUCAGAAUUCAGAACCGAGCAGCUAGCUGCUGCAGAGACAGGGUACAGAAUUACAGAAAGCUGCCCGACAGUAGGUGAUGGAGACUUCUGCAUAUACCUCAUCAGAUGCAGACGAUUGGAAGAGUAGGUGAUGAUCGUCGUCGUCGUCGUGCAUGGCAAGCAGCUGUAUGAUUUUGACACCUUUGGACGCCGGCCGGCCUUUUAUGUCAAUGGCAAGCAAAAUUAUGUUACAGCAAAACCCAAGCUCCUUUUGUCAAUGGGCAGUUUGACAAACGGUGCACCUGACCUAGCUGUAUGUACGAUCGAUUUUGACACUUCAUUUUCUAUGCCGCUGCUCUACGCUUCAACCAACCGAGAGCAUGCAUGUUGAAGCUAACAACGUCAUUGUACUUUUCUUCAUGGAACCAUGGCGCACAUGCAUGCACGCAUAUAUGCAGUUUGACAAAUUUGAUCAUGUAACCGGACCGUGAUGAGCAUAUUGAUUUUUCAUGGUUUAGCGACCAUGAAAGAUAUUUUUUCAACGAGCCACAUGCCAAUAAUAAUAAUAAUAAUCCAUAUUAGAUUAUGAUCAUGUUUGGAAUGGGUUAAACUUAUUUUUUUUACAGCUCCCCAAGUGAGAGCACCUUCAACAGACUAUUCAUUUUUUCUCUAUAUAUUGAGUUGACUGUCUAUCCAAGUUAUAAAAAUAUUCCUCUCUAGGUUGAGUUGAUCGAGAUCCAUUUACUGCUCUCCGAAUCCCAACGGCUAGUCGGCGGGCGGCGCGCUCGCCGGCGGAGCUCUGGGGCAGAAGCUCGUCGGUGGAACUCCGGAAGGAAGACGGCGGCGUGCUUGCCGGCGGAGCUCUGGGAGGAUGACUGCGGCGUGCACGAAGCUUGGGGCGGCGUGCCCGUCGGCGGAUAUCAGGGAGGAAGACGCCGCCGAGCUCGGGAGCGGCGGGCGGCGUUAGCAGAGGCGGAGGGCGGCGCGCUCGACGGCGCAGAGCUCGGGAGCGGCGGGCGGCACUGGCUCGGGGCCGAGGACGACGUGCCCGUCGGCGGUGCGCGGACGGGUAGGGAAGAAAAGGUGGGGAAAAAAGCCAACAAGCCGGAUGCGGUCAGAGCUUUUCGAGUUUGACGUUAUAACGGAAGAAUCGCUUUUUACUAAGGCACGGUUUAUUUGAGCUUAUGCUUUUGCGUUUUUGUUGGAAAGUUACUUUUUUAAAAACUGGUUUUUUUUCUGACAUUCAACUAUUAGCUUUUGUAAUAAAUUUUUAUCUUCUCAGCACAUCAAAAGUUAGAAAAAACUCCUCUCAAUUAGCUUUCCAGCUUUCAGUUCAUCAGCUUUCUAGCUUUUAGUAGUCCAAUAGACUGUUUAUUUUAGCUUUUUAGUUUCUUGCUGCCGGAAGGCGGAAAGCCUAACCUGACGAGCUGAAACAAACAGCGCCUAAGCCGACGCCGACGAGAAGCUGCGCGUUUGGGAGGCUUCACAGCUUAAAAAUAAGUAGAAGCUGCAAAAUUUUGGCCCGUCUAGCUCCGGAUCGAUUUCAUUGGGUUUUGAGAUCACCUGGGCCGUGGCCCAUUAACUACCAGGAAUAGAGACAACCGCAGAGGAGUUAUCUGAUUUCUCUCUCCCGGAGGAGGAAAAAAAAGGAAAGGGAAAUAAUCGCUCCGGUGACCGGCGGCGAUUGGGACGGGAUGGACGGAGCCAAGCCACCGGCGGCGGCGGUUGGGAAGCAGGGGCUUGAAGAGGCGCUGCUCCAGAUCGUACAACAGCACCACCACCAAUCCCUCCGCCAACGCCAACAAACUGGUACGUCACUGCUCCAGAUUCCUCCUCGCUAAACAGAUUCCCCUUGGUUUGAUGAACGAUUUAACGAACAAUCAACAUUCCGUCCUUGCUGUUAGCGCAGAGAGAGCCAAGAAGGAUGCCCUGAGAAGCGCGGGGCACGUGGCCGAUCUCCUCGUGGACACGGUCGACGGAGGGGUGCAGGAGCUCUUCGUCAACGAGAAGAGCAUCGAGCUUGAGGCCCGCGCGCUGCUCAGCACUAUCGCGCGCCACAGGAAGCAGACGGACCGGUGGCUGGCUGCCACCAACGAGAUCAAUUCAGUGUUGAAGGUGACAAGCUAUUUAAUAACACUGAGCAGGGAAUUUGUUUUGCAUGUUCUGUGAUCAGUGAAGCUACAAAGAUGACAUGCUAUUAAUUACACUACCAUUCCUUUAGGCUAUUAAUUACAAAACACCCAAUCCAGUACUCUGUGAUUUCUGUUGUUGCUGAAGCAUCUAUUUUUUUAAAUUUUGUCUCUAGGAAAUUGGUGACUUCGAGAACUGGAUGAAGGUCAUGGACUUUGACUGUAAAAGUAUCAAUGCAGCGAUACGCAAUAUUCAUCAAUCAUGACUCUGCCUGCAAUCAUAGCUUUAGGAAGUAUUCAUGUCAUUAGAUACAUUCAUUCGAAUUGCGGGGCUGGAAACCCUCUUGUCUAGAACUGUUUCCUGUUUUUCCAUACAAAACUGUAAAAUGAAUCCUUGCAAAGCAUCUGUGCUAUGAGUACCAUCACUGAUCCCUUCAAUUUCAAAGUCAUGAUAUAUGAUCAAAAUACUUGUCAAUCUGAUUAAGUCUUCCUAAUGGUGUUAUUCUUGUGCCAUUAUGCGAACAACUUUUUCCAUGAGCUUGCAUGUUCAAGAUAGAUAGCGGCAACACUGAAAGGUAAGACCGGACUUAAAAUAUCCUUCAUGUCAUUUUAUUGCUUGCACAUGUAUGCUUUGAAAGCAGUGAAUACCUCUUUGGAGAAGACUACUGUAUCGUGAAAGGGGCACUUGUCCCUCCAAAGAUGAUUACAAGGUAAUAAACCACACACGAGCACAGGCGGCAAUAAUGUGAGUCCUAGUUUACCUUCCUGCAGUCCUAGUAUCGUGAAAGGUGAGCAGUUUUUCCAGUGAGGGGACUAAUGUUGCCCAUCUUUACCAUCGCUGCACUGAAAUCGGUGAAGAAUUUUGCCAUGUUUGAGGAGUAGGUGGUAGUCUGGGAGUCUGCUGAGCCUCCAUUGAACAAUUGCUGGGAGAACACCCUUCUUGUUCAGCAAGUUCUUGUAGUAGAAAUUGUCAAAAGCAUAGGGUGUUGAGGCAUCAAGGGGGGAGAUGUUAUUGUCACCAGUCUUGUUUGGACAAUUUGAUUUCAGUGAUGUUGCAAGGGAUGUGUCAAUGUUAGUUUCACUGUAAAUGCGGUUGCGGAAGUUUACACAUCUGGCUUGCCCAAUGGUGUGUCCUCCUGGAAAUUUUUCGUUGUGUCAGUCAGUAUUCAGCAGUACUAAUAUCCGCAUUCAACAUCUAGCUUUUGACUACUUUUUAUGAACGACUUAUAUGGUUGAUGAGAAAAUUUGCAAUCUUUCAGUACCUGAGAGUGCAAUCAUGCCAAUUGCAGUCAGUCCUUUGUUUGAGAAGGACUUGAUAAGAUCACUGAGGUCAAAGGUUGGCUUUGGAAUAUCACUGUUUGCAGCAUCUAGGCUUGCUGUCGUGAGUCCCUCCUUCCCAGGUUGACAACCCAAGUUGGCCCUCCAAGCUGAAGUAGAAAUUGUCAACUGAAUGCGUGAAACAUGCUUAGUCAAUCAGUUGCUGUAAAAUCUCUGAAUAUCAGAGUAUUGACUUUAAUAGUUUAGCUUACUGCUUCCUGAUGCUUUGUUUAAGUGAAGGUUUAUCAAUUUAUCAUAGCCUCUGAAACCUAAAGAGUUUUCCCAUCAUCAUUUCAGUUAAAAUAUUGGACAAGCACUACCUUUGUGGUUUGCCGCGUGUCGGUCAGAGUCAUAAACACUUCAAUAGUUAAUUUGUUAAACUAAUUUAAAUAUUCUUUUGAGUAAAUUGCACCCAACACUUCAAUAGUUAAUUUGUUAAACUAAUUUAAAUUUUCUUUUGAGUAAAUUGCACCCAACGUAUGACAACUUAUAUGCUAACAAGUUGCACAUGCAAAUUGAUACAUAAACUUGUUGGAUGUGUGCGUAUACGGUCUCAUGUAUGCUGUGCAUAUACGGUCUCAUGUACGCCACCGAGCCUAUUUUGUCACCAUCGCAGGCCACGCGGGUUAUAUCUCUGAUCAUAAAUACUAAUUUUGCAUGUGCCAGGUCAAUUUCGCCUUGAAUUUUCAUUCACUUCUAUAUUAUCAUUAUUAUUAUUAUUAUUAUUAUUUGACCGGAACUUCUAUAUUAUUAUUAUUAGGUUGGAUAAACUAUUCCAGAUUCAUGUUCUGGAACCUCAUGGUGUAUGUGGAAAUUGAGUACUUGCGAUAAAAAAAAGUGUUGCUAGUCCACAAUGGUGUCAUUUUUUCAUGCCAAGUUUAAAAAAUACACUACGCAAAGUUAGAUUAAAGAAAGACGCCAUGUCAAGGCCAAGAAUAUGAUUAAAAAAUAUGCAGCAAGUUAACAAAUGGAACAGAAAUACUAAUAUAAUCUAGAAUUGAUCUGGAAUGAUUCAUCCAAAGCAAACGUGACAUGGACAUGCAAAAUUAAUGCUUGUGACCUAAUCUACAGUCCACGCAGCCUGCGAUGGUGGCAAAAUACACUCGGUGGUGUACAUGUGACCGUAUAUGCACACAUCUAACAAGUUCAUGUAUCAAUUUGCAUGGUUUGCAAAUUUUCAUAUGCACCUAGAUAUAUACUUAUAUCUAGAUACAUAGCAAAAGUGAUGCAUCUAGAAAAGCCAAAACCAAUAGUAAUCUGGGACGAGUAUGUCAAAAGUACGACAUAGAGUUGAGCCAUUUAGAAAAUGCUGCUGAGUGGGGAGUUCUGGGUUAUGACUUGGCCAAGCAAACCAUUAACAACAGUGUUGGCAAAUUAUCGUCAAAAAGCCAAAGGAAGUGUCUCCUAGUUGGAGUGGCUGUACAUAUCAUGUGAGUGAGUCCUGAGUAUCGAUCAGUUCGGCCAUAAGCUCGAUCUCAGGUGUGAACCAUUUCGAGUGGCCGGAUCUUGCUUUUUCAACAAACUGAGCGUAAAAUAAUGAGAGAGAUAAUAAGAUACUAGAAAAAUUCAUAGCCAACUUCAUUUUUUUCAUAACUGGAGAUCCCCCAAACUUUGUAAGCUUCUCUUGAUUUUGAAAUCUCUCCUUUUUUUUUUAGAAUUCCAGGGGAGGACCCCCCCCCCCCCCCCCCCCAGUUCGAUUGCGUUGCAAAAGAACAAAGUAGCAAGGUUUUAGCACAUAGUAGUGUUUACAAGCUUGUUCAGACUCAUUACAAAAGAGAUAUCAGGCAUCAGGCCUCCGAUGCACGACGCUGUGAUCUCACCAGCUUCCAUCAUCUUCCAUGGCACAGCUCCUCAAGAUGAUCCACUCAUCUUGAUCAGCUCUGGUCUGGCCACCAGCCAUUCCAACUUUGCCAAGUACACCGCGUGCUGCUCCAAUUGCUUCACAGGGCGUAGCACACCCCAAUUCCUGAACAUAGCAAGUAGUGCCGGCCGCCAGACUUGCCGCAAGCCGCGCCAGGUCCCAUCCUGAAAACAGAAGUUGUUUCGCAAUUUCCAAAUGCUCCACAGAGCAGCAGCAUACAACAUAUUUGUCACACCAUGUUUUUUCCCACAUAUCCAAAGUUUGGCAAGGGACUCACAGUUUGACACUACAGCUAAACCUGUACAUUCAGCAAGGGAAAUCUCUCCUUUUCUUUUGUUGUUACUAUUUGUUUUGAAGGAUUUCCCUCUGGAUUGAGUAUGGUGCUUCUUUAAUUUGGUGGUAAUAUUAUGUAUCUCUAUUUUAGUAUGCGGUUUAUUAUAUUUCUUGCAUGAACUGAUGAUGUAGGCAGAAAAGAACCAACGAGAAAAUGAGAGAAAAGUGCGUUUUCCCGAAAAAAAAAAGAAUGCAGGUUGGAGAAUGGCGAUACCUAUAAUAUCUGGCAUGCAGAGACUAUGAAAGAAGGAACAGGCCAGCCAUGCCUUUACAGUGGUUACAGUCCAUCCAACAUUCUAGAAUCUUUUUUGUUUGUUUGUUUGUUUGUUUUUACCGUUUUUCCUUGUUGGACCAUGAUAAUGUCAGUGAGAAAACUGGCCAAAGAUCCAGGUUCACUGUGCAGAUUUUACUUGACAGAGUCAUCUGAGACUAAAGUGAACAUGUAUUGAUAGUUCUGAUUGUAGCUUAAGGAUGACAGUUAACAACAGCAACCGAGGAACGUGUGAUAAUUUCACUGAAACUAAGCGCUUCAUUGCAGUUGCAGAUGGAAUAAUUUGACAUAUGGAGUCAGGGUGCUGGGCUGGAUGCCUGGAUGUGAUAUGGUAGACAGCGGCAUCUGGUCACAGCUGCACACACAUAUACUGGUGAACUGAAAUUCUUCAGUGGCAGGGCAGUAGUGCUGCACCACCAAAAUCGCAGAGUACAGUUUCCAUCUUGGACUCAUGCAGAGAAACAUCAAUGUCUUUUGCUCUGUCUAUUUGAUGUCAGGAAUCUUCUUCGCAGCGACCGGGGCGUCCCGUUUGACGCUGCUUUAGAAUUUGCUCUACGGAAAUUCUGCUGUUUUAUGCAGUGGAAUCACUUUGACGCUGCUGAUUCCAAACUUUUGCUGAAUUCUAAAGAAAUCUUUGAAACUCGGGAACUUUUUGCGGAGAUUAGAUUUUCUUCUGUCCAAAGAAGCUGCUGAAUCGAACUAGCCCUGAAUGUGCUGUGUGCUCUGGGGGAGUGGAUGAUCACAUCAUAGCUUCAAAUUGCAAUCGCCAGAGUGUAGCGCCAAAUUUUGGGGCCUGGACACAGAGAGAUGGCUACCAAGAUCCAAGAACAGCCGGCAGCUUGGCGGCGACGACGAUGACGGACGGUUCGGCGGCUAUGUUCUGCAACAGAUAGAGCUCGUGUCAUCUGCAGCAGCAUCGAUUACUCGAGGACGGCGCAGCAAGGAGACUCGAGUCGAUGUCGGCUGGGAGUAGCAGUGGCGGAGGAGAAACGGACGCGCCAGGAAGAUCCGGUUGGCGAGGGGGACGAACGGAGAUCUGGAGGAGGACCGCCGCUCCCUUCCCGACGACGAGGCGAGGCCGACGUCGCCGGAGCCGUGCGGGGAAGGAGGCACGAGGGGCUAUUUUGCAAAUAAGUUGGAUCGCGACUAAUAAUCGCGAUCCGAUUCAGGAGGUUUUAUGUAAAUAGUUGGACCGCGAUCAAUAAUCGCGAUCCAAUUUAGGGGUGUUAAUGUAAAUAAGUAGGGGGUUUUGUGGAAAUAUUUGGAUCGCGAUCAAUAGCCGCGAUCCGAUUCAAGGGGUUUUCUGCAAAACAUAUUACCAUGCCGUCCCCGGCGCCUCCAUGGCUGGCUCCGAGCUCCCUGAACCGCGGCCUCCUCGCCGCGAUCGCUGCCACGUUCUCAGUCCCUCGCUUGCUCACCCACUCACCGCGCCACGAUCGGCUCGAGCUCCCAACACAUCCCUGUAAACGGCCGACCGACGGCGUCUUCUUGUUGGGUGAAUACCAGUCCGGAUGGAAUGUGUUCAUCUUGAAUGCCGGGAUGGAAAUGGAAUGUGUUCAUCUUGCAUCCAUACAAGGAGAAACAUGGAAACUUUUAUUCCUUGCGUUUGAUUCCAUUCUUCAGACAGAACAGAAGAGAACCUGUUGCCAUUUGCCAAGCAACUGAAGCAAAGCAAACAAAGACAAAGGAAUAUUCAUCACUCGUGAAUUCUCAUGUUCCAACUUGCAGCAUCACCUCACCAUUUCGUUAUUACCGUUGACUCGCAUGCAUACACAGACAGCCAAACGUUUGGUUCAACAAUCUCCACUGUUUCAAGAAGAAAACUAUGAAUGAACAUCAGCACAGAUUAUAAGCCAGAGUAGCUGCUUCCAAACAGGCUAAAGAUCCAGCCUUGCUGCUGUGUUAACUAGCUCAUUUUUCCUCAGACUCCCAAAACUUCCCUCGUUUUUCAGACCUCAGUACCUGCCAUACUACUAUGCUGCUACAAGCUUGGUAAAAGGAACAUUAGUGGGGCAAGUGACCACCUGAUCACUAAAAAGGUACCCUGCCUC
RNAcentral lists this long non-coding RNA (13453 nucleotides) under Setaria viridis. RNAcentral describes it as "long non-coding RNA (SVIR_LNC008603)". Lineage: Eukaryota; Viridiplantae; Streptophyta; Magnoliopsida; Poales; Poaceae. The record is from RNAcentral.